Molecule: ribosomal RNA, 250 nt
Filed under: uncultured bacterium
Lineage: Bacteria
Description: partial 16S ribosomal RNA
Rfam family: Bacterial small subunit ribosomal RNA
Source: RNAcentral
UACGUAGGAUGCGAGCGUUAUCCGGAUUUACUGGGUUUAAAGAGUGCGUAGGUUGUAGGGUAAGUUUACAAUUAAAGAUCAAGGCUCAACCUUGGGAAUGUUGUAGAUACUGUCUUACUAGAGAUCGGUCGGGGGAAGUGGAAUUCCCGAUGUAGGAGUAAUAUCCGUUGAUAUCGGGAGGAACACCAGUGGCGAAGGCGGCUUCCUAGACUGAUUCUGACACUGAGGCACGAAAGCUAGGGGAGCGAAA